This 3071-nucleotide ribosomal RNA is filed under the name Campylobacter coli. Its description in RNAcentral is "23S ribosomal RNA". It matches the Rfam family "Bacterial large subunit ribosomal RNA". Lineage: Bacteria; Pseudomonadati; Campylobacterota; Epsilonproteobacteria; Campylobacterales; Campylobacteraceae. The record is from RNAcentral.
AAAAAAGGUAAGCUACUAAGAGCGAAUGGUGGAUGCCUUGACUGGUAAAGGCGAUGAAGGACGUACUAGACUGCGAUAAGCUACGGGGAGCUGUCAAGAAGCUUUGAUCCGUAGAUUUCCGAAUGGGGCAACCCAAUGUAUAGAGAUAUACAUUACCUAUAUAGGAGCGAACGAGGGGAAUUGAAACAUCUUAGUACCCUCAGGAAAAGAAAUCAAUAGAGAUUGCGUCAGUAGCGGCGAGCGAAAGCGCAAGAGGGCAAACCCAGUGCUUGCACUGGGGGUUGUAGGACUGCAAUGUGCAAGAGGUAAGUUUAGCAGAACAUUCUGGAAAGUAUAACCAUAGAGGGUGAUAGUCCCGUAUGCGAAAAACAAACCUUAGCUAGCAGUAUCCUGAGUAGGGCGGGACACGAGGAAUCCUGUCUGAAUCCGGGUCGACCACGAUCCAACCCUAAAUACUAAUACCAGAUCGAUAGUGCACAAGUACCGUGAGGGAAAGGUGAAAAGAACUGAGGUGAUCAGAGUGAAAUAGAACCUGAAACCAUUUGCUUACAAUCAUUCAGAGCCCUAUGUAGCAAUACAGGGUGAUGGACUGCCUUUUGCAUAAUGAGCCUGCGAGUUGUGGUGUCUGGCAAGGUUAAGCAAACGCGAAGCCGUAGCGAAAGCGAGUCUGAAUAGGGCGCUUAGUCAGAUGCUGCAGACCCGAAACGAAGUGAUCUAUCCAUGAGCAAGUUGAAGCUAGUGUAAGAACUAGUGGAGGACUGAACCCAUAGGCGUUGAAAAGCCCCGGGAUGACUUGUGGAUAGGGGUGAAAGGCCAAUCAAACUUCGUGAUAGCUGGUUCUCUCCGAAAUAUAUUUAGGUAUAGCGUUGUGUCGUAAUAUAAGGGGGUAGAGCACUGAAUGGGCUAGGGCAUACACCAAUGUACCAAACCCUAUCAAACUCCGAAUACCUUAUAUGUAAUCACAGCAGUCAGGCGGCGAGUGAUAAAAUCCGUCGUCAAGAGGGAAACAACCCAGACUACCAGCUAAGGUCCCUAAAUCUUACUUAAGUGGAAAACGAUGUGAAGUUACUUAAACAACCAGGAGGUUGGCUUAGAAGCAGCCAUCCUUUAAAGAAAGCGUAAUAGCUCACUGGUCUAGUGAUUUUGCGCGGAAAAUAUAACGGGGCUAAAGUAAGUACCGAAGCUGUAGACUUGCACACAACUUAGAUUAUUUAAGUUUAGAAUAUGAGAAACUAAGUUAUAUGUUUAGUUAUAUUUUUACUGAUUUUUAUAGAGUAAAGAUAGAAAUAAAACUUAGUAAAAUCAGUAAAAAUAUUCUUAGACUAAAGUUAAGUAGUUUAAGUUGUGUGCAAGUGGUAGGAGAGCGUUCUAUUUGCGUCGAAGGUAUACCGGUAAGGAGUGCUGGAGCGAAUAGAAGUGAGCAUGCAGGCAUGAGUAGCGAUAAUUAAUGUGAGAAUCAUUAACGCCGUAAACCCAAGGUUUCCUACGCGAUGCUCGUCAUCGUAGGGUUAGUCGGGUCCUAAGUCGAGUCCGAAAGGGGUAGACGAUGGCAAAUUGGUUAAUAUUCCAAUACCAACAUUAGUGUGCGAUGGAAGGACGCUUAGGGCUAAGGGGGCUAGCGGAUGGAAGUGCUAGUCUAAGGUCGUAGGAGGUUAUACAGGCAAAUCCGUAUAACAAUACUCCGAGAACUGAAAGGCUUUUUGAAGUCUUCGGAUGGAUAGAAGAACCCCUGAUGCCGUCGAGCCAAGAAAAGUUUCUAAGUUUAGCUAAUGUUGCCCGUACCGUAAACCGACACAGGUGGGUGGGAUGAGUAUUCUAAGGCGCGUGGAAGAACUCUCUUUAAGGAACUCUGCAAAAUAGCACCGUAUCUUCGGUAUAAGGUGUGGUUAGCUUUGUAUUAGGAUUUACUCCGAAAGCAAGGAAACUUACAACAAAGAGUCCCUCCCGACUGUUUACCAAAAACACAGCACUCUGCUAACUCGUAAGAGGAUGUAUAGGGUGUGACGCCUGCCCGGUGCUCGAAGGUUAAUUGAUGGGGUUAGCAUUAGCGAAGCUCUUGAUCGAAGCCCGAGUAAACGGCGGCCGUAACUAUAACGGUCCUAAGGUAGCGAAAUUCCUUGUCGGUUAAAUACCGACCUGCAUGAAUGGCGUAACGAGAUGGGAGCUGUCUCAAAGAGGGAUCCAGUGAAAUUGUAGUGGAGGUGAAAAUUCCUCCUACCCGCGGCAAGACGGAGAGACCCCGUGGACCUUUACUACAGCUUGACACUGCUAUUUGGAUAAGAAUGUGCAGGAUAGGUGGGAGGCUUUGAGUAUAUGACGCCAGUUGUAUAUGAGCCAUUGUUGAGAUACCACUCUUUCUUAUUUGGGUAGCUAACCAGCUUGAGUUAUCCUCAAGUGGGACAAUGUCUGGUGGGUAGUUUGACUGGGGCGGUCGCCUCCCAAAUAAUAACGGAGGCUUACAAAGGUUGGCUCAGAACGGUUGGAAAUCGUUCGUAGAGUAUAAAGGUAUAAGCCAGCUUAACUGCAAGACAUACAAGUCAAGCAGAGACGAAAGUCGGUCUUAGUGAUCCGGUGGUUCUGUGUGGAAGGGCCAUCGCUCAAAGGAUAAAAGGUACCCCGGGGAUAACAGGCUGAUCUCCCCCAAGAGCUCACAUCGACGGGGAGGUUUGGCACCUCGAUGUCGGCUCAUCGCAUCCUGGGGCUGGAGCAGGUCCCAAGGGUAUGGCUGUUCGCCAUUUAAAGCGGUACGCGAGCUGGGUUCAGAACGUCGUGAGACAGUUCGGUCCCUAUCUGCCGUGGGCGUAAGAAGAUUGAAGAGAUUUGACCCUAGUACGAGAGGACCGGGUUGAACAAACCACUGGUGUAGCUGUUGUUCUGCCAAGAGCAUCGCAGCGUAGCUAAGUUUGGAAAGGAUAAACGCUGAAAGCAUCUAAGCGUGAAGCCAACUCUAAGAUGAAUCUUCUCUAAGCUCUCUAGAAGACUACUAGUUUGAUAGGCUGGGUGUGUAAUGGAUGAAAGUCCUUUAGCUGACCAGUACUAAUAGAGCGUUUGGCUUAUCUUUAAUAAAGCAU